Dromaius novaehollandiae (emu) is the source of this 2497-nucleotide RNA transcript. It is a transcript of the gene named outer dense fiber of sperm tails 1, with no coding region annotated. Lineage: Eukaryota; Metazoa; Chordata; Aves; Casuariiformes; Dromaiidae. The transcript has 2 exons. The record is from RefSeq and is a predicted model, not a curated record.
CGCUGAGCUCCCCGGCGGCGCCGCUGCCCCUGCGCCGCGCCGGGCGGCCCCGGGUGCCUCGGCCCGCCCUCCCCUGCCGCCGGGCCCGGGCCGCGCUGUGGGAGGUGGCGAGCGGCCCCGGCUGGGCACCUGCCGCCACCGCGGGGGGACUGAGCUGCCAUUUCCUCGUCCGUUUAACGGACAGGAGCGGGGUAGCCGAGUUGCGUCCUGCCGCGCCGGCCUGCCGAAUGACGAGUUUCAGUGGAUUUUCGCCUCUUCGGGUCCUCCUUGUUGCACGAGUGUCCUCAGAGGGGUUUUGCGAACUAGCUGCCCUUAAUAAUCUGCUUUUUCCAAAAUUGUUAGGCUGUUUUCUAGUUCCCGGUUAUGACUAGCCAGUAGCACAGUUGCUCUUCCUUCUAAUAGGCAAAACUUUAUACCCUUUUCUGGACAGAUUUGUGGUAUAUCGGCAUAGAAAGUUAUCCCUAAAAAACACGGAGAGCUUCAUGCCAUACUGGCUAUGCACUGUGCUUCUGGAAAGGGUUUUAUGCUUUUGGAAGAGAACAUACUUUGAAAAUAGGAUGGUUUUUAAGAAAUCAAUAUCUAAAUUUACUGCAAGUUGAGUAACAAAGCCAAUAAAACAUUCAUUGGUUUCUACAGAAACCAAUUGCUUGGCUGGGAUUGUACUAAACAUAGCUUUUGCCUGGAAUUUACUGUCUUUGCAGCUCACUCUUUUGCUUAUUUGCAGGAAAUCAGAAUUUUAGAAAACCGACUUGGAAAUUUCUAGCAUGUGAGGAGUGCUUGCAAUCACGCUAUAAAGGAAUUUGGAACGUGACAGAAGUUUCAUGUGCUGUUGGAAGCAUCCCAUACUUGCCUAAUUAGGCUACAAGACUUCAUCUUACUAGUUCAGUUGUAGAGUACCAGUAAAUGAUAAUACAUUGAGUGCCUUUAUUGUCUGUUGAUGUAUUUCUUUUAGAAGAAAACCUUGAAUCAUCUGAAAUGUAUCAUAAUAGAGUUGCUUUCUGAUCAGGGAUCUGCUUAUUCUUACAAUUCUUGUUUUUCAGGACUUCAAAAUAAAAGUUUUCCUAAUGAUGACAGCUUCCAGUAAUGAAAUGGCAUUUAAAAAUUUGUAUUUUCUAAGUCAUGUAAAAAUUCAAGAACUUGACUAAUUUUAUUUCCUUUCAAAAUGUAUUUAAGACAGGACAUCUGUCUUGGCCUAAGAAAUUUAGUUCCCUAUGUUGCAAGAUUCCUCUGUGUAUAAAUGUUGCUAUUUUCAGGCCUACUGAUAAAGAAGAAGCUUCCUUGUGAAGGUGCAGCUAUAAAUAUACCAACACCCAACCAGCAGAACAAGUUUCUUGCUGGUAUGCUUGUCUGUGCUAGAAUUUUGCCAGCUUAGAAAUACCAUAUCAAAUGACUCCUAUGGGUUUGUUGCUGUCAUGUCAGAAGCUGAGUUUCGAUAAAUGUCAACACUGUCCUGAAUUUUUAGAAUCAUGUAGUUUGGAAGGGGCUUCUGGAGUUUAUCUAGUCCAGCCUCCUGCUCCAAGCAGGUCCAAUUAGAGCAGAUUGUUCAGGAGCUUUUCCUUCAGAAAUACAUCUUGAAAAAUAUGCAACAGGUCAGAUGUAUUCCCAGACAGCUUGCUAAACUCACUCAACUGCAGGCUUGAUGGAUUGCAUUGCUUUCUGUUGCCCAUUAGUCCUAAAGGGAAGGGAACCUGGUAGAGGUGGGAGGAUUAGGAUAGAAAGACUGCAGGGUGUUUGCACUGGAAGCAGUGUAAGCAGAUGCUGACAAACAUACGACAGGCAGUGUGGUUAUGCCUGAUGCAGCACGCUAAAGUCAGGGUAGAGGCCUGAAGCCUUGCCUUUUGCUCAGGGCAUCUAAGGAUGCCUCGUGCAUUUUCCGGGCCAUUAACUUCAUAUGCAACACAGAUGACAUCACAGACUGGCAGGAUAAGAUGGUAUUUUGCUGUGGAAGAAAUGAGGCCAGCAUGCCUAGAAACGUCAGCAAAAAUGCUGUGUAGAAAACUGUAGCUUCUGGAUUGUUCCCAGGACCAAACAGAAGUUUGUAUAUUGAUCAACAAAGUACGCUGCAAAGAAAGAAACAAUUUCCAGCACCUUGUGCCCCAAACCAAAGAAAAACAAGUUGCUCACUACCUCUUACUCUACCUCUAUUCAGGUGUAGCAUAAGAGUAAUUUGUUUGGGGCUGGGAAUAUCAGGCUUUUAAACUGCAUCCGUGUGUUUCACAGCACUUACAUUACCUGCAUAGUUUACAAGUUAACACUAGAAAGCAAAGAAUUCCAACUGAAGAGGACUGUGCUGCCUGCAGUUUGCUUUCUGCUGUCUUAGUUUAUGUUUUGUCAUAUUCAUGUCUCAGAUUUGUAAUAGACUGAUUUUUUUUAAUACAUUGCAGAUUUAUGAUAGCUGAAACUUGAUGCUAAGUGAUGCAAGCUAUUAAAUGUUUAUAAUAUCUUAUUUUCUAACUUGUACCUGGCUGUAAAUUAAAGAGGUUGCUUUAGUAGAUAA